GUUCCAUGAUGAUCCACCCAUGCGUGUCAUCUGACCCCCACACCCCCUGUUACCCCCUGGCUGGCGUUCUGCUGUGCUGGGGAAGGACACAGGGUUUUGGGGGGAAGUGAUCAUAACAGACCAGGUCCCUGAGAAC
Molecule: small nucleolar RNA, 136 nt
Organism: Hemicordylus capensis (graceful crag lizard)
Lineage: Eukaryota; Metazoa; Chordata; Lepidosauria; Squamata; Cordylidae
Product: small nucleolar RNA SNORD10
Exons: 1
Source: RefSeq, a predicted model, not a curated record